This 159-nucleotide transfer RNA is filed under the name Pneumocystis jirovecii. RNAcentral's name for it is "tRNA-Pseudo(AGT)". Lineage: Eukaryota; Fungi; Ascomycota; Pneumocystomycetes; Pneumocystales; Pneumocystaceae. The record is from RNAcentral.
AUAUUUUAUGAUAAAAAGAAAUUUUGUAAUUAGUAAUAAAAAAAUUUAAUUCGAUAAAAAUAAAGAUUAAAUUUUUGAAAAAUUAAUUUUUUAUUGAUUUUUAGAAGAAAAUAAUAUUUAAUUCUUUAUAAAUUAAAAAUUUGAAUUUUUAAAAAUAUU